RNAcentral lists this ribosomal RNA (218 nucleotides) under uncultured bacterium. Its description in RNAcentral is "partial 16S ribosomal RNA". It matches the Rfam family "Bacterial small subunit ribosomal RNA", at positions 116 to 334 of the family's 1533-position model. The record is from RNAcentral.
CGUGAGCAACCUGCCUUUCAGUGGGGGACAACAGUUGGAAACGACUGCUAAUACCGCAUAAUGCAUUUUGACCGCAUGAUCGAGAUGCCAAAGAUUUAUUGCUGAAAGAUGGGCUCGCGUCUGAUUAGAUAGUUGGUGGGGUAACGGCCCACCAAGUCGACGAUCAGUAGCCGGACUGAGAGGUUGAACGGCCACAUUGGGACUGAGAUACGGCCCAG